This 488-nucleotide ribosomal RNA is filed under the name uncultured bacterium. RNAcentral describes it as "bacterial SSU rRNA". It matches the Rfam family "Bacterial small subunit ribosomal RNA", at positions 28 to 533 of the family's 1533-position model. The record is from RNAcentral.
GAUGAACGUUGGCGGCGUGCCUAAUACAUGCAAGUCGAACGGAGACGGUAGCAAUACGGUCUCAGUGGCGAACGGGUGAGUAACGCGUUGGUGACCUGCCCCGAAGUGUGGAAUAACAGAUCGAAAGAGCUGCUAAUACCGCAUAAUAUCCAGAGGAUUAGAUGCCUUUGGAUUAAAGGAUUUAUUCGCUUCGGGAGGGGCCUGCGUCCCAUCAGCUAGUUGGUAAGGUAAUGGCUUACCAAGGCGAUGACGGGUAGGGGACCUGAGAGGGUGGCCCCCCACAAUGGAACUGAAACACGGUCCAUACACCUACGGGUGGCAGCAGUAGGGAAUAUUAGUAAUGGGCGAAAGCCUGAACUAGCAACGCCGCGUGUGCGAAGAAGGCCUUCGGGUUGUAAAGCACUUUUUGUAGAGGAUGAGGAAGGACGGUACGUCUCAGAAUAAGUCUCGGCUAACUACGUGCCAGCAGCCGCGGUAAACGUAGCGUG